This 598-nucleotide ribosomal RNA is filed under the name uncultured bacterium. Its description in RNAcentral is "bacterial SSU rRNA". It matches the Rfam family "Bacterial small subunit ribosomal RNA", at positions 77 to 651 of the family's 1533-position model. The record is from RNAcentral.
GCUUCGGCCCUGAGUAAAGUGGCGCACGGGUGAGUAACACGUAGGUAACCUGCCUCUAAGAUUGGGAUAACAUGUCGAAAGACGUGCUAAUACCGAAUAAGACCACAGUUUCCUCGGAAACAGGGGUCAAAGGUAGCCUCUAUUUAUAAGCUAUCACUUAGAGAUGGGCCUGCGUACCAUUAGCUAGUUGGUAGGGUAACGGCCUACCAAGGCAAAGAUGGUUAGCUGGUCUGAGAGGAUGAUCAGCCACACUGGAACUGAGACACGGUCCAGACUCCUACGGGAGGCAGCAGUGGGGAAUAUUGCGCAAUGGGCGAAAGCCUGACGCAGCAACGCCGCGUGAGUGAUGAAGGCCUUCGGGUCGUAAAGCUCUGUCGGAGGGAACGAAUGUUUCUGAGGUUAACAGCCUCAGGAAGUGACGGUACCCUCAAAGGAAGCACCGGCUAACUCUGUGCCAGCAGCCGCGGUAAUACAGAGGGUGCUAGCGUUGUUCGGAAUCAUUGGGCGUAAAGGGCGUGUAGGCGGUUUGCUAAGUCAUGUGUGAAAUCCCUCGGCUCAACCGGGGAACGACGCAUGAAACUGGCAAGCUAGAGUACCA